RNAcentral lists this small nucleolar RNA (111 nucleotides) under Carlito syrichta (Philippine tarsier). RNAcentral describes it as "Small nucleolar RNA SNORA57 (ENSTSYG00000032432.1)". It matches the Rfam family "Small nucleolar RNA SNORA57", at positions 42 to 149 of the family's 149-position model. From Rfam's summary of the family: U99 belongs to the H/ACA class of snoRNAs which are thought to guide the sites of modification of uridines to pseudouridines, the target for this family is unknown. Lineage: Eukaryota; Metazoa; Chordata; Mammalia; Primates; Tarsiidae. The record is from Rfam by way of RNAcentral.
CCGUUAUGUACGGAGGCAGAGGGAAAGGGCUCCGGCUCCCUCGGCGUCAUGUCUUCGGUGGUGCCGGCGGCUUCUUGUCCACCGGUUCUAUCCUCAAGCACCGAGACACCC